Suricata suricatta (meerkat) is the source of this 633-nucleotide long non-coding RNA. RefSeq lists it as uncharacterized. The record is from RefSeq and is a predicted model, not a curated record. NCBI's taxonomy places the organism in Eukaryota, Metazoa, Chordata, Mammalia, Carnivora, Herpestidae. The transcript has 3 exons.
UGCCUGGAAUGUGGGCACAUCCCCAGAUGCAAGGGGAGGCAGCAUCUGAGACCACGUGGCACCCUCGAAGCAAGACAGUUUAGCAACGAUUCUUCACUAAGACUUGUAUAGUAUGUGUGGCUCUAAGUAUCCCGAGAUAUUUGAAUAGAAACAUCGUCAGCUUAAAAGUAAAAGGCCCCACUGGACUGCUCAGAGUUGUGAUUCCCAAAUAAGCAAGUAUUGGAAGAGAUAAGCAAUGGGAAUGACUUUGUGCAAAUGAAUCCAUCAACAUGUUCGAUUAAAUGCUCUAAUGCCAAGAUGGUGAGCUCCGUGAGAACACAGACUAUGGUCUUCACUCGUGUGGCUUCUCAGUUCACUGACGGAGUUCACUGAUUCACUGAAUUAUUGAGGACACACCAAAGCCCAACAGUACACUUAAGCAGAGAGAUUGUGCUGAGAACGUUAACAUGAUACCUCUGCGUAGUGCAGUGUUGACAACAAGGACUACUCAGAACAUUUGUUCUCAUGAUUGGCUCUGUGCCUCAUAGGAAGAAGUGAAUCAACAGUCUUUCUGGAGUCACUUCAGUGGAGUACCAGUUUCUGCUAUGGUUGCUUAUGGGAUAAGAUGGGGCAGAAGCUGCUUUGGAGGGACUC